AGGAUUAUAUUUAAUUAUAAUAUUUGAUUUGCAAUCAAAAGGUGUUUAAGAACUAAUCUUA
Molecule: transfer RNA, 61 nt
Filed under: Parathailocyba orla
Lineage: Eukaryota; Metazoa; Arthropoda; Insecta; Hemiptera; Cicadellidae
Description: tRNA-Ala
Source: RNAcentral